Molecule: ribosomal RNA, 583 nt
Filed under: Taxella eximia
Lineage: Eukaryota; Metazoa; Cnidaria; Hydrozoa; Leptothecata; Aglaopheniidae
Description: Gymnangium eximium partial 16S ribosomal RNA
Rfam family: Bacterial large subunit ribosomal RNA
Source: RNAcentral
CCAAAAACAUAGCCCUUAAACAUCAAUUAAAGGUGAAACCUGCCCAAUGGUUUAUAAAUAAUUUUUUCCAGAAAGAAAAAAAAAAAAACUAAAUGGCUGCGGUAACUAUGACUGUAUGAAUGUAGCAUAAUCACUCGCCACCUAAUUAGUGGAUAGUAUGAAUGGUCAAACGAAAAUUUCUCUGUCUUACGUAGUAAUAAGAAAAUUUAAAUUAUAGUCAAGAUGCUAUAUAAAAUUGUAAGACGAAAAGACCCUAUAAAGCUUAACUACAAUCUUUUAAAAACACAAAAAACAUAAUAAACUUAAAAGAUAGGUAGUUUCAUUGGGGCGAUGGUCUCUAAAAAAAAACAGAGACAAACUAUAUUAAUAACAUAAUUUAUUGUUUAAUAAAUAUAUUUAACAGUUACAAAGUAGGUUAUAAAGACCCAUUAUUACUUAGAAAAAAGAAUAAUGAUCAAAAAAUAAAAGCUACUUUAGGGAUAACAGGAUAAUCUUUUCCAAGAGCUCUUAUCGAAGAAAAAGUUUAUCACCUCGAUGUUGAAUUAAGAUAACCCAAUGACGCAGCCGUUAUUAAAGGUAGGUC